Molecule: non-coding RNA, 24 nt
Filed under: Arabidopsis thaliana (thale cress)
Lineage: Eukaryota; Viridiplantae; Streptophyta; Magnoliopsida; Brassicales; Brassicaceae
Source: RNAcentral
GGCGAUGAGUUCAGCGUGAGAUCU